GACAGAUUAUUUGAGAUGAUGGAAGGGUUCAUAGCUGCCCAGCAAGGGCGAGAGGAGAGAAGAAAGUUACCCGACCCUCCUCCACUACCGCAGGUUAAGCCUCCGCUACAGCAGGCUGAUCCCGAGCCACCCCGACACGAGCCUGCCCCUCCACAGUACCACCCGGCACCACUGCCGCAGUACAACCCGGUGCCCUAGCCACGGUACUACCCAGCACCACCACAGUACAACCCAGUGCCCCCAUCAUAUCAGCAGGUGCCACCACAGGACCCCCCAGUCUAUCCCCAGCCGGGUCAAGUCCCUCUUCCACGGGACCCCGCUCC
This 323-nucleotide long non-coding RNA is filed under the name Carica papaya (papaya). RNAcentral's name for it is "long non-coding RNA (CPAP_LNC002381)". Lineage: Eukaryota; Viridiplantae; Streptophyta; Magnoliopsida; Brassicales; Caricaceae. The record is from RNAcentral.